RNAcentral lists this ribosomal RNA (253 nucleotides) under uncultured bacterium. RNAcentral describes it as "partial 16S ribosomal RNA". It matches the Rfam family "Bacterial small subunit ribosomal RNA", at positions 524 to 776 of the family's 1533-position model. The record is from RNAcentral.
UACGUAGGGUGCAAGCGUUAAUCGGAAUUACUGGGCGUAAAGCGUGCGCAGGCGGCUUUGCAGGACAGAUGUGAAAUCCCCGGGCUUAACCUGGGAACUGCAUUUGAUACUCUAGAGCUUGAGUACGGGAGAGGAGAGUGGAAUUCCCAGUGUAGAGGUGAAAUUCGUAGAUAUUGGGAAGAACACCGGUGGCGAAGGCGGCUCUCUGGACCGUAACUGACGCUGAGGCGCGAAAGCGUGGGGAGCAAACAGG